GCAAGGAAUCUUCCGCAAUGGGCGCAAGCCUGACGGAGCAACGCCGCGUGCGGGACGGAGCCCUUCGGGGUGUGAACCGCUUUUGCCGGGGACGAAGCGAUGACGGUACCCGGCGAAUCAGGGCCGGCUAACUACGUGCCAGCAGCCGCGGUAAUACGUGGGGCCCGAGCGUUGUCCGGAGUCACUGGGCGUAAAGCGCGCGCAGGCGGCCCGCCAAGUCCGGCGUGAAAGCCCCCGGCUCAACCGGGGAGGGUCGUCGGGGACUGGCGGGCUUGAGGGCGGCAGGGGCCGGUGGAAUGCCCGGUGUAGUGGUGAAAUGCGUAGAGAUCGGGCGGAACACCCGUGGCGAAGGCGGCCGGCUGGGCCGUUCCUGACGCUGAGGCGCGAAGGCGUGGGGAGCGAACGGGAUUAGAAACCCCUGUAGUCC
This 427-nucleotide ribosomal RNA is filed under the name uncultured bacterium. Its description in RNAcentral is "bacterial SSU rRNA". It matches the Rfam family "Bacterial small subunit ribosomal RNA", at positions 354 to 796 of the family's 1533-position model. The record is from RNAcentral.